Molecule: ribosomal RNA, 761 nt
Filed under: uncultured bacterium
Lineage: Bacteria
Description: bacterial SSU rRNA
Rfam family: Bacterial small subunit ribosomal RNA
Source: RNAcentral
UCCAUGUGUAGCGGUGAAAUGCGUAGAUAUAUGGAGGAACACCAGUGGCGAAAGCGGCUCUCUGGUCUGUCACUGACGCUGAGGCUCGAAAGCGUGGGUAGCGAACAGGAUUAGAUACCCUGGUAGUNCACGCCGUAAACGAUGAGUGCUAGGUGUUAGGCCCUUUCCGGGGCUUAGUGCCGGAGCUAACGCAAUAAGCACUCCGCCUGGGGAGUACGACCGCAAGGUUGAAACUCAAAGGAAUUGACGGGGGCCCGCACAAGCGGUGGAGCAUGUGGUUUAAUUCGAAGCAACGCGAAGAACCUUACCAGGUCUUGACAUCCCGAUGCUAUUCUUAGAGAUAGGAAGUUACUUCGGUACAUCGGAGACAGGUGGUGCAUGGUUGUCGUCAGCUCGUGUCGUGAGAUGUUGGGUUAAGUCCCGCAACGAGCGCAACCCUUAUUGUUAGUUGCCAUCAUUAAGUUGGGCACUCUAGCGAGACUGCCGGUAAUAAACCGGAGGAAGGUGGGGAUGACGUCAAAUCAUCAUGCCCCUUAUGACCUGGGCUACACACGUGCUACAAUGGUCGGUACAACGAGUUGCGAGCCGGUGACGGCAAGCUAAUCUCUGAAAGCCGAUCUCAGUUCGGAUUGGAGGCUGCAACUCGCCUCCAUGAAGUCGGAAUCGCUAGUAAUCGCGGAUCAGCACGCCGCGGUGAAUACGUUCCCGGGCCUUGUACACACCGCCCGUCACACCACGAGAGUUUGUAACACCNGAAGUCG